CUUCUUUACUUUAACUUGAGUAACAGAGUGUAGUCACUACUUCUACUUUUACUGGAGUCUUUUAAAUAAUGAGUAUCUGUACUUCUACUUGAGUAAAGGAUGUGUGUACUUUUGCCACCUCUGAUCGUGACUGGCAGCAGACAGGUGGACUUUUUGACUCCUGGUUCUCGUUAAGGUUCUCCAGGUCUUAGGGCACUUAUUAAAUGAAGGCUCUUAUGUAGUACCUGUAGUGUCUGCUAGGGGGCAACAGCACACAAUCUAAUCAAUCCUGUGAACCUCAGAACUUAAUGUGUGGAAACGAACUAACAUCCAUUCAUUCACACCUGAUUCUGUUUUAAAUCAAACUGAGAAUAAAUGAAUUAUCCUGCACUUAAUUAUCCUACACAUAAGCACAUGGAUAUUUCUUGUGUAAUGGUGAAACACCAGUUUGAUUCAGAGUUGAUUCAGACCUGUCAUUUAUGCUGAUUUUUAUAUUCUUUAAUUAAAAUAAUGUGACUCACUAAAUACUCUGGACGGAGCUCUUAGAGGCACAAGGAAUAACAUAAAAAAAACUGUGUUGUGUGUUCCACUGGUCUGAAGUUCAGUAAAUGUUAUGAAUUUAUGAGAAAAGAAACUUUCACGCUCAAACUGAUUAGAUCGAUUCCAUCAGAUCAUAAUGUUGUCCAGAGAAAUAGAUUUAAAACCCAGUAAUGAUGGUGUGGUUCAGUCACAGCUCACAAACUUGGGGUAAUUAUGGACAAUCAACUGUAUGUAUGAUGCUAGAGAUUUAAACACUUCUGUACAUUGCUUUGGAUCUCUGCCAAGUGUGUGUGUGUGUGUGUGUGUGUGUGUGUGUGUGUGUGUGUGUGUGUGUGUGUGUGUGUGAUCCUUUCUUCCUCCACACUUUGGCCUUUCAUCCCUUCAUCACUAGUAUUUCUAUAAUAUUUAUAUAAUAAUAUUGACUUUGCCUCAUGUUUAAUCCCUCUGAUUUAUGUUUUUCUCAGUUUCAGGAUGGCUUUCUUUUCUUCUGAAGAUGUGUUUUUAACAGUGAAUAAUGGAGUGUAUGGAUGUGUAUUUAUUUAUAUCUGUGUGAGUUCUAAAGUGCAACAGAGAGAUUAUUAUCAUUAUUACAGUUAUGAUGAUGUUCUCAUGGCGUAAUCAGUGCUGUUCGCUGUUACACUGCUGUAUCCUGGGUAACGUGUGUGUGUGUGUGUGUGUGUGUGUGUGUGUGUGUGUGUGUGUGUUUGUGUGUGUUAUCUUAUCGCAGGAGAGACUGGGUGUGGUUUAUGUGCACAGGGUUAGGUGUAAGAACAAAACUCAGCACACACACACACAAUUAGGAGCCUUCAUUGGUCACCAUCUCACAUACAUUCAGAGCCACAAUAUUAUGUUAAUUAAGUAUAAUCACAUUUUAAACUUUACUUGAUGUUAAACACGUGUGUAAUAAACCCUUUUUUUAAAAAAUCAGCCAUAAUUCCUGCUUUGUGUGUGAGACAAUAAUUAACCUUCUGUUCAUACAGGAAUUUUUAUUAGACUAUUAAACCCUCAUCCUGUCUGUGUGGAGAGUCCAGAGUCUGUGUGUGUGUGUGUGUGUGUGUGUGUGUUCAGUAUUAUACCUAUAAUAAAGCUGACCUAGCAAAUGUGAAUUGAUCACAACUGAUUAACACUCAUUAAGUGAUUGAGCUGUACACUGAGCUCUGAUUGGUCAGUCGGGUGUGUGUCGGUGCCCUGUGCUGCUCUGAAAAGUACUAUUUUUUAACAUUUAAACUCAUCCUGAUUCUGAUUACACACAUACACACAAUGGUGGUGAUUAGUCACAGAUGAAGGUCUAUGGCAUAAUUUGUGUUUGUUGAAGCUAUAAAACCUUUAAAUGAAUUUUAUUUCUCUAAACGAAACAUUAUUUAUUAGUUUAGUUCCUCAGUGGAAUCCUUCAGGUCUGAUGUAGAAACUUAAUGAGUUUAAUGAGGGUUCUGCUUACAAAAUUCUGAAUAAAUUGACAAAAAAUACAAUGAUGAGCUGUGUGUGUGUGUGUGUGUGUGUGUGUGGAGGGCUGGGCCUUGUGUUAGUUAAAUAUUGAUGUGGUGUGUAAUGAUUAACAUGAAUUCAGUUCCACAUUACAUUAACCUGCUGCUCUCAGUCACACACUCAUUCUCUUACUGAGCGCCUGAAACUUCACUCUGCUGCUGCUACAGGCUGUGUGUGUGUGUUUGUGUGUGUGUGUGUGUGUGUGUGUGUGUGUGUGUGUGUGUGUGUGUGUGUGUGUGUGUGUGUGUGUGUGUGUGUGUGUGUGUGUGGAGAGUGAGAGUGAGAGCAUGUUUCUGAAACUCCUCAAAGGAAACAGUACUGAAGUGUGAGUGUGGGGCAGCGACAGUGACCCAGUGGUUAAGGAGCUGCGUUACUGCUCAGCAUGACAUGGCUUCAAGUCCCAUCUCUGCUAAAGUGCUCCUGCUGGGCUCUUGGUUAUGGCCCUUAGCUCGCUGCACUUCAUAAUGAGCUGAAGAUACAGAAUGUGCUGUAAUGUAGCUGUGACGACCAAAGGCUUCUUCUUCUAACAGAGAAUGUAUUGACCAAUGAGAAUCACUGAGAACAUGAAUCAUAUAACUGUAUAUUAAUCAGUAGGCACUGCUGAUUGGGCGGCUGGGUGAUGACCUAUGAAUUGACAGCCAGUGUUUUCAGUUGGACUGCCUGUCAGUUCUGUAGGCCACUGCACGGUCCACCCACCCACCCACCCACACACACACACACACACACACACAAAAACAUAAUAUUCAUUGUGUUUGUGUGAUUUGUGUAUUAAAUUGUGCAUUGUGUGUAAAAUAUCACCUGGUACACAGCCUGUGUGUUAGUGAAGAUGGUCAUUAUAUGUAAUGAUUGUAUGUAUCUAUAUGAUUGUGUUCUGGAGUGUAUAGAGUUCAUGUCGGGCCUUUUAUGUUUGGAAACCUCAAAUCUACAUCAGCUCCUGUGUAUUUAAUAAAACCUGCACACUUUUCUGUCUCUCCGUCUAGAGAAUAAGAUUAAUUAUUAGAGCAGAGCCUGAGUUCAUAUCAGAGGGAAUUUCAGUGCUUUGAAAUGAGCAGGAGAGAAUCGCUGUAUUCUAACUUUAAUGUUGGAAAAAGAAUUCUAAAAUAAAAAAUAAAUAAAAAUGUUUGUUUAGCA
Molecule: long non-coding RNA, 3135 nt
Organism: Tachysurus fulvidraco (yellow catfish)
Lineage: Eukaryota; Metazoa; Chordata; Actinopteri; Siluriformes; Bagridae
Exons: 2
Source: RefSeq, a predicted model, not a curated record